GGUUGUAUAGUGUAGCGGUUAGCACGCGAGAUUUUGAUCAUUCAAAUAUUCUCGAGUCCGUGAGUUUACUCUAAUCAUCUUCCGAUGGUAUCUAAUUCUAACUCAUUUCAGUGGGUUCGAGCCCCAGUACGACCU
RNAcentral lists this transfer RNA (135 nucleotides) under Aureobasidium subglaciale EXF-2481. It matches the Rfam family "tRNA". Rfam says of the family: Transfer RNA (tRNA) molecules are approximately 80 nucleotides in length. Their secondary structure includes four short double-helical elements and three loops (D, anti-codon, and T loops). Further hydrogen bonds mediate the characteristic L-shaped molecular structure. tRNAs have two regions of fundamental functional importance: the anti-codon, which is responsible for specific mRNA codon recognition, and the 3' end, to which the tRNAs corresponding amino acid is attached (by aminoacyl-tRNA synthetases). tRNAs cope with the degeneracy of the genetic code in two manners: having more than one tRNA (with a specific anti-codon) for a particular amino acid; and 'wobble' base-pairing, i.e. permitting non-standard base-pairing at the 3rd anti-codon position. Lineage: Eukaryota; Fungi; Ascomycota; Dothideomycetes; Dothideales; Saccotheciaceae. The record is from Rfam by way of RNAcentral.